RNAcentral lists this ribosomal RNA (674 nucleotides) under Escherichia coli. RNAcentral's name for it is "bacterial SSU rRNA". It matches the Rfam family "Bacterial small subunit ribosomal RNA", at positions 858 to 1532 of the family's 1533-position model. The record is from RNAcentral. Lineage: Bacteria; Pseudomonadati; Pseudomonadota; Gammaproteobacteria; Enterobacterales; Enterobacteriaceae.
CGUUAAGUCGACCGCCUGGGGAGUACGGCCGCAAGGUUAAAACUCAAAUGAAUUGACGGGGGCCCGCACAAGCGGUGGAGCAUGUGGUUUAAUUCGAUGCAACGCGAAGAACCUUACCUGGUCUUGACAUCCACAGAACUUUCCAGAGAUGGAUUGGUGCCUUCGGGAACUGUGAGACAGGUGCUGCAUGGCUGUCGUCAGCUCGUGUUGUGAAAUGUUGGGUUAAGUCCCGCAACGAGCGCAACCCUUAUCCUUUGUUGCCAGCGGUCCGGCCGGGAACUCAAAGGAGACUGCCAGUGAUAAACUGGAGGAAGGUGGGGAUGACGUCAAGUCAUCAUGGCCCUUACGACCAGGGCUACACACGUGCUACAAUGGCGCAUACAAAGAGAAGCGACCUCGCGAGAGCAAGCGGACCUCAUAAAGUGCGUCGUAGUCCGGAUUGGAGUCUGCAACUCGACUCCAUGAAGUCGGAAUCGCUAGUAAUCGUGGAUCAGAAUGCCACGGUGAAUACGUUCCCGGGCCUUGUACACACCGCCCGUCACACCAUGGGAGUGGGUUGCAAAAGAAGUAGGUAGCUUAACCUUCGGGAGGGCGCUUACCACUUUGUGAUUCAUGACUGGGGUGAAGUCGUAACAAGGUAACCGUAGGGGAACCUGCGGUUGGAUCACCUCCUU